UACAGAGGGUGCGAGCGUUAAUCGGAAUUACUGGGCGUAAAGGGCGCGUAGGCGGCCUCUGCAAGUCGACUGUGAAAUCUCCGGGCUUAACCCGGAAAGGUCAGCCGAUACUGCAGGGCUAGAGUGCAGAAGGGGCAACUGGAAUUCUCGGUGUAGCGGUGAAAUGCGUAGAUAUCGAGAGGAACACCUGCGGCGAAGGCGGGUUGCUGGGCUGACACUGACGCUGAGGCGCGAAAGCUAGGGGAGCGAACGGG
RNAcentral lists this ribosomal RNA (254 nucleotides) under uncultured bacterium. RNAcentral's name for it is "partial 16S ribosomal RNA". It matches the Rfam family "Bacterial small subunit ribosomal RNA", at positions 524 to 776 of the family's 1533-position model. The record is from RNAcentral.